AGAGAGAUUACCACACUCAUCUCUUAGGGCAGAAACCCAUAUUUGGCUUCCCGCUACCCACACUCAUUCCCGCUACAUUUUAGACCAGGCUCUCAAAUCACUCUCCUAAAAUCUUCACAAAACCUACGACACUCGUACAUCCCCUCAACGCCUAAUCUGCACCCUUAAGAUCCACAGAACACAUAAUCACCCAAUUCGGCUCUCUUCAUCAAUGCCAUACUCACAGAGCACUUCCUUACAAACCCACUUGAGAUCAAGGAAAACAAGGUGCUUUCCCUACACAAAUAUAGCACCAUUAUUGAUUUUCGUCAGUAAAGGGAGGACGUUGGUGUGGUUUUGGCAGCCAGUUAAAAGAGGCAACGCAAGCACCGAACAAAAAUCCAACAAGGAAUCGCCAAGGGGUUUUCAUGUAAGGUCUUAACUGAAGCAAUGUGCAUUUCUCAAGUGUUUACAUAUGGAAGAUCUAUGCCAUCUCACUUUUGCAAACACAAAUACAGGCAUAUUUGGAAGCUGUGAACUUGUCAAUGAAUGCUUUCUUCAUUCCUGAUUUUGCUUCAAAACACUACUUAAACUAUGGUGCUGUAGUGAGUGAGGCAAGUUUUUAUUCAAUGCUUUCUUCUUGUUCUUUCUGUGGUACUGCAGUGAGUGACUUGCAACUGUAGUACUUGUGUCUGUUUGGGUACUUUAUAUAUAUUUUUCUCUUUUUAAAUUUGCUUUUUGCUAUCUAGCUAAACAUUACCUUUUGCUUUUUGGUUUUGAAAUGACAAAAAGCGAAAAAGCAAGCUUGCAUGUUCAAACCAUCAUCAUGGUAUAUAUUAUUGAGGAUGAUUUGAUUAAAUCCACUACUAUUAACAAUUUUCAAAGCAAAUCUUUUUGCACUUGAUAUGAAACUCUGGUGAGACAUGCGGAAGUAGAGAUUCUGACAGGGCAAACAACAAUUUUGAGAUCAGAUAUUUUACAUGAUUGUGGACAAUCUCUUAACCCUACUGUGGAUCUCCCUUAGAUAUGGUGCGGGGCAGACAUACUACUAGUGUUUCCCAAACACCAUCUACUAAUAAGGACGAUGAGCCUUUGACACCUCUUUCAUAGCGGUCAGUCCAAGCUGACACACCUGUGGUUGGCCAAGAGCAUACACUUACAAAUGGCUAAGAGCCUUUACCUAAUCGUUCAUAGGGUUCUCACUUGAACCAGAAUCAGAGAUUGAUUCAGUAAGGAGAAUCUGCCUUAGAGUUUGAGAAGGAAACAAGUUUUCUCUCGGAUCCUCAGCAGCUCGAGUGAUCAUGAACUCCUUUAAGCAACAGAUACACCCUGCAAGUGUCAUGUGGAAGAGUGUCCCAAAAGAAAUCAAGGACUUUUACUAGGAGGAAUUCAAGAAAAAUACUACUAGACUACUGCUGAGGAACCAGGGGUAAAGGGUUGUUGGCAAUCAAAGGCUGUUGAACGAUACAAGGACAUGAUAUAUGAUUUCAAGGCGAAGAGAAAAAGGCCUAGUAUUUCAAUGAAGAAGCAUGGGCUUAAUUUGAGUAGCAUUGGGAGGACCUUUUUGUCAUUUGACGAUUUGAGACUAAUUCAAGAAACUGUCGUGGUGCUAUAAGUGGUCUAGGGCCGUUCACUCACACGGAUGAAUCUAUAUCAUUUCAAGAAUGGUCAGAUAGAAUAGAGAAAGAUUUGGGUCGAAAGCCCAAUUAUUAUGAGUUACUUGUUCAAACUCAUACUCGCGAUCAUGUCAAAGAAAGAUUUGUGUAUAAAAAGUCUAGGCAAAUAAACGAAGCAUUAGUGGCUAAAAGUGAAGAGCUCCAAUGAACUACACUUUACACUAUCAAUGAGAAUCAAAUUUAUUUGGAUGUUGUUGAGGCUAGCCAGAAGAGACGGAUGGUGCAUGGGCUUGGAUCAGAAUCAUCUAUCAUUUACCCUUCACGAGCAUCUUCUUCUAGGGGGUCCUCAUCACAUGAUCCUCAAUCUGCUAUUUUACAACAAGAAGUAGAAAUUUGAAGAAGCAAUUUGAAGAAGCAACUUGAAGAAGAGAGGCAAAGAGGCAAGCAGAGAAACAAGCUAUUAUGGGGCAACUUGAAGAAGAGAGGCAACAGAGGCAAGCAAAGAAGCAAGUUCUCACGAAGCAAUUUGAGAUGCGUUUGGAAAACAUGAGACAAUCAAUGUUUGGAGAAGAUAAUGAGAUUAGUCAGAGGCCUACCAACUCCUCUACCUCCAACGUCGCCUCCACCUCCACUUAAUAAGGAUUGAUGGUUUUGUAUUUUAACUUUAACUUAUUAAACUUUAAUAUUUUUAUAUUACGGGAGUUUAUAUUUAUUUUAUAACAUGUAUGGAGUAUUAUUAUUAAUAAUAUUAUUGGAUUAUUAUUAUUAUUA
Long non-coding RNA from Hevea brasiliensis (rubber tree), 2366 nucleotides. RefSeq lists it as uncharacterized. NCBI's taxonomy places the organism in Eukaryota, Viridiplantae, Streptophyta, Magnoliopsida, Malpighiales, Euphorbiaceae. The transcript is spliced from 8 exons. The record is from RefSeq and is a predicted model, not a curated record.